UGCAUCGCUGGGAUGAAGCCUACAUGAUAAAGUGAUUUCAGUCUGCCUCCGCUGGCUCUGCUGCUCUGGGGGCUGUGCCAUGCAGACCAUCACAGUAGGAAGCUGUCCCCCCUCAGGAUGGCUGGAAAGCAAAGACAACAAAAGGAAGAGGCAGGCUCCCUAUGCUGUCAUCAGAGGCAAACACAGGAGACACAUAUUCCUUCCAUUAGUCUCUCCCCACUAAAGACUGCGUUGCUUCCCAGUGGCACCACAGACUGAAGACCAAGGUCUAUUUCAGAGCCAAACCUUAAGCAUACAGCACAGGUUUUGCCUACAGCUGAAGAAACCUGGCCCUACGGGGGACCCCCACAGACACAGACACAGAGGAAAGACCAGUGAACACAUGGGGACAAGACAGCUUUCUACAAGGCCAGGAGAAGAAGGUACCAAACCUCCAGGCCUGCAGGUCACCACCCUCCACCCUCAUCUCAGUCUUCCAGCCUGCAGAACAAUGAGAAAAUUGAGAUCUGUUGCAACAGAAAAUACUGUGUCUUUCAAGAAGAUAGAGAUGUGAACAUUAUUAGGAAGAAAUGGAAAAACAAGAAAUGACCCAAAUAGAGCCUUUAGGGAUAAAAUAUAAAUACUGUGGAAAAUCACUGUGAAUGGGAUUAACAGUGCCGAAGAUAUUGCAAAUGAAAAAAAUGUCGACUUAAACUUUGGUAAUCAUUCACAAAAAAGUCAGGGGCGGGGAGUGGACAAUGUGAAGAGUAUGAGUAAACGGUAGGGUGGGGCCAAGCUGCUCAACACACUGGAAUCUGCAAUUCCCCUUCACUCCUGCAAAACAGUGUAGGCUGAAGAAGGAACGGAAAUUUGAUUUAGAAAACAAUAACCACAAUUUGCUAAAGUUUAUUUUUAAAAGUCUCUAAAUUUGAGGAACCUAAACUGAGAUUCAAGAAGCUCGCCAAACCCAAGCAGAAGACGUGAAGGGAAGCACAGAAAGGCACCCACUCUAGCUUGCUUGUCUGCUGCUGUGAUAAACAUCACAGCCAAAAGCAGUUUGGGGAGGAAAGGGCUUUUUCAUCACGUACGUACGGUUCAUCAUUGAGGGAGGUCAGCACAGAAGCUCAAGGCAGGAAACUGGAGGCAAGAACUGAAGCAGAAGCCAUGGAGAAGUGCUUCAGGCUGGCUUGUGCCUUUCUUGCUCAGUUACCUUUCUUCUACAGCCCUGGCCCAGGACCGGCACCACCCCCAGGGCGAUAGGCCCUCUUACAAGUAUUCAAGAAAACAUCCCUCUUGAGAUGGCUCUCUUCUGAGCUGUUGGUCAGGGAUGGCCAAGGACUCCCCAGACAGGCUAUUGCACUUGGUUGUACCACAGAGGUGGAAGAUAAGUUCCUAUUGCUGAAGACACAUGCACUUCAGACACAAGAUCCAGAGGCCCCUAAACUGUAACUGACCUGAAUGCCUCACCCCUGAGGACGAGCUCUCAUGACCAGAAGGUGUAAUUCGAGCGUCCAAAGGAGGGAACCAAUCAACAGCCCUAGCUGGCUGUGGCACCUAAGAACCACACCUACCAGGGUACAAUAACCAUCAGCAUGUAGUAGUCACAUAAAUACCUUGGUAGUAGACAGUGCCUCUCGAACUUAAGACCCAUUCAACAAGAAGGAAAUCAUGACUGGUAUUGGAAACCUAGCCAACCACCCAAGGCUGGUAAAGUCAUGGAUCAUGGAAGGGAACCAGCAACCACCACUUUACUAACCAGUGCAAUCUCUAACCAUGUUAUAAAUAUUUGCCCUUAUACCCACAGGUAAGUAUAGUCACCCCUCAUCAAGGAAACUUCUCUUUGCAACAGAGAGCAUUACAGAAAACCACAAAUAAUAAAAACGUAAAAUUGUGGAGUCCGGGUCCAAUAGAUACAUCUACAAAACUUGAACCUAAGGUUCAGGUAUCACUGUGGAAGAAGUAAAUGGAACUACUCUUAAUAGCCAAAGAAAUAGGGAGUUUACUGUAAGAAGCACACAUGGUGUAACACUAGUGAUGUCAGAAGCAACAAGCAUAAAAUCUCACUGACUCAACUGCCUAGACAUGACUUAAACGGGAACAAUAACA
Long non-coding RNA from Mus musculus (house mouse), 2085 nucleotides. RefSeq annotates it as predicted gene, 39205. The transcript is spliced from 4 exons. The record is from RefSeq and is a predicted model, not a curated record. NCBI's taxonomy places the organism in Eukaryota, Metazoa, Chordata, Mammalia, Rodentia, Muridae.